RNAcentral lists this ribosomal RNA (253 nucleotides) under uncultured bacterium. RNAcentral's name for it is "partial 16S ribosomal RNA". It matches the Rfam family "Bacterial small subunit ribosomal RNA", at positions 524 to 776 of the family's 1533-position model. The record is from RNAcentral.
UACAGAGGGUGCGAGCGUUGUUCGGAAUUAUUGGGCGUAAAGGGCGCGUAGGCGGUGCGGUAAGUCACCUGUGAAACCUCUGGGCUUAACUCAGAGCCUGCAGGCGAAACUACCGUGCUGGAGUGUGGGAGAGGUGCGUGGAAUUCCCGGUGUAGCGGUGAAAUGUGUAGAUAUCGGGAGGAACACCUGUGGCGAAAGCGGCGCACUGGACCACAACUGACGCUGAGGCGCGAAAGCUAGGGGAGCAAACAGG